UGGGAAGAAUUUGGGAAUUAGUGUGACGGGUAGUCCGUAGUUCAAUGUGUGACCGUUGUGUGUGAUUGGGAGUGAACCCGUGAAUGAUGAUAAUAAAGUAACUGAUUUUUGUAGUUAGACGAGUGUUGUAUCGUUUUGUGCAUACCUGUAGCCUUGUCACGUCAAAUUUAAUUCCAUAUAUUAAUGCAACGAUGUACCAGUUGCAUUUUUCGUGUUUUUUUAAUCAAUGUACCUGUCAGUCAAUUAAUUGUCACCAUUGUCAAACUGACCCAAUUGCAACGCUCUGGACUACCAUGGAUCUGUUCUCGCGGUUCGGUGUCCUAAAAGAACCGGCGGGUUUAGAAGAUCAAAAGAGAUCGAUCAGACUUGUCAACUGCCUGUCACUCAACUUUCAUUGUGGUUCACAACCAUUGAUCAAUUAAAAAGCAGACACGCGGGGACAUCCGUAGGCCUAGCAAUUUCUAUUUACAACUGAAAUGCUUGGUAUAACCAUGGAGGUAUAACACAUAACACAUCAGGGUUUUAUUUUACAAAAUAUAAUUUGGAGACAUAAUAAUUAGGACUAAAAAUUAUCGGACCAAAGCUAAAAAUUAAUUUUCGGACCCAAGAAAAAAAAAUAUUUUCAGGGCAACCUCGCAUUUCCGGUGAAAUUAUAUAAAAUUAUGAUUUUAACAAAAAAUGAAAAUCAACUCCCCAUUUUUUCUUUUUUUAGAAAAUAUUAUUUGGAUAUAUAAUAAUUAGGACUAAAAAACUAUCUGACCCAAGCAAAAAACUGGCGGACACUGUCCGUACAACUGUAUAAGCAUGCGUGAUGCUAUAUUCCUUUUUUUAUAGUAGCUCCUUUUUAUGCAAUAGACCUCGCAAAUAUCGGUGUUUUCUUGUCAUUUUACUUGUCUAACCAACCAGCAAUUGUACCGCGGCAUACACAGUGCGCGGUGCGGCGGGAACCAAUCAUACUGGUUAUCGCGAAGACAACUUCCCAAUCAAUCAAGCGAACUUGUAAAAA
This is a long non-coding RNA of Patiria miniata (bat star), 1006 nucleotides long. RefSeq lists it as uncharacterized. The record is from RefSeq and is a predicted model, not a curated record. NCBI's taxonomy places the organism in Eukaryota, Metazoa, Echinodermata, Asteroidea, Valvatida, Asterinidae. The transcript has 2 exons.